CCUACGGGUGGCAGCAGUGAGGAAUAUUGGUCAAUGGACGAGAGUCUGAACCAGCCAAGUAGCGUGAAGGAUGACUGCCCUACGGGUUGUAAACCUCUUUUAUAUGGGAACAAAAAAGGGUAUGCAUACCCUCUUGUAUGUACCAUAAGAAUAAGGAUCGGCUAACUCCGUGCCAGUAGCCGCGGUAAUACGGAGGAUCCGAGCGUUAUCCGGAUUUAUUGGGUUUAAAGGGUGCGGAGGUGGAGUGUUAAGUCAGGUGUGAAAGUUUGCGGCUCAACCGUAACAUUGCAGUUGAAACUGGCUGUCUUGAGUGCAGUAGAGGUGGGCGGAAUGCGUGGUGUAGCGGUGAAAUGCUUAGAUAUCACGAAGAACGCCGAUUGCGAAGGCAGCGCACCGGACUGCAACUGACGCUGAUGCUCGAAAGUGUGGGUAUCAAACAGGAUUAGAUACCCCUGUAGUC
Molecule: ribosomal RNA, 460 nt
Filed under: uncultured bacterium
Lineage: Bacteria
Description: partial 16S ribosomal RNA
Rfam family: Bacterial small subunit ribosomal RNA
Source: RNAcentral